UCCUCUUCUGCAGGUACAUUGACGUAGAGCGCGCAUCGUGGACUCCAAAGCCUCCGGCCCUCCUCGCAACCCCGCGAGCCUACUGGUAGCAGAUUCCGUGCUUCAUCAGCUGACGCCGUCUGUGGGAAUAUCGAACCACGAUAUCCCGUCGUAAUCGCGAAAUUUUCUUCGCAAAGUUCAGCUCGAUUCCCUUAGGGUGAGUCGCUGACUUUGUGUCAAGGAAUCUCCGAUUCACACUGGCAAUCGCCGACUCCACCUAGUGAGUCGCCGAUUGCGGGUUAUUCUGCUAGCUAAGAGUGCUGUCCACGGCU
This 311-nucleotide long non-coding RNA is filed under the name Zostera marina. RNAcentral's name for it is "long non-coding RNA (ZMAR_LNC000001)". Lineage: Eukaryota; Viridiplantae; Streptophyta; Magnoliopsida; Alismatales; Zosteraceae. The record is from RNAcentral.